This 497-nucleotide ribosomal RNA is filed under the name uncultured bacterium. RNAcentral's name for it is "partial 16S ribosomal RNA". It matches the Rfam family "Bacterial small subunit ribosomal RNA", at positions 28 to 507 of the family's 1533-position model. The record is from RNAcentral.
GAUGAACGCUGGCGGCGUGCCUAAUACAUGCAAGUCGAGCGAACAGACGAGGAUCUUUCUCCUCUGACGUUAGCGGCGGACGGGUUAGUAACACGUGGAUAACCUACCUAUAAGACUGGGAUAACUUCGUGAAACCGGAGCUAAUACCGGAUAAUAUAUUUAACCGCAUUGUUCUAUUGUUUAAUUCGUUUUUUCUUUCUCUUCUAUAUUGAUCCUCGCCGCAUUAUCUAGUUGGUAAGUUAACGGCUUACCAAGGCAACGAUUCGUAGCCGACAUGAGAGGGUGAUCGGCCAAACUGGAAGUGAGAAAGGGACAAGAGUACUACGGGAGGCAGCAGAAGGGAAUAUUCCGAAAUGGGCGAAAGCAUGAAGGAGCAAGGCCGAGUGAGAGAUGAAGGACAUCGGAGCGUAAAACUCUGUUAUUAGGGAAGAACAAAUGUGUAAGUAAAUAUGCACGUAUUGACGGUAACUAAUCAGAAAGCCACGGCUAACUACGUG